This 344-nucleotide ribosomal RNA is filed under the name Sphingonotus luteus. RNAcentral's name for it is "partial small subunit ribosomal RNA". The record is from RNAcentral. Lineage: Eukaryota; Metazoa; Arthropoda; Insecta; Orthoptera; Acrididae.
GUGUUAAUUUUGUUUUACCUGGGUAAUAAUAGUUAAGGUCUUUAAACCCAAAGAAUUUGGCGGUAUUUCAUUCCAUUCAGAGGAACCUAUCUCGUAAUUGAUAAUACACGAUUAACUUUACUUGAUUUAUUUGUUUGUAUAUCUCCGUUAUCAGAAAAUCUUUUUGGAGUUAUAAUUUUCCUGUUUUUCUAUUAAAAAUUAUUUCAGGUCAAGGUGCAGCUUAUAAUCAAGUGUGUGAUGGGUUACAAUAAAUUUUUUUUUAUUAUGGAUUUAAUUUUGAAAUGGUUUAAUGAAGGUGGAUUUGAUAGUAAUUUAAUUUAUUUAAUUUAAUUGAUAUUGGCUCU